UACAGAGGGUGCGAGCGUUAAUCGGAAUUACUGGGCGUAAAGCGUGCGCAGGCGGUUGGUUAAGUCUGAUGUGAAAGCCCCGGGCUCAACCUGGGAAUGGCAUUGGAAACUGGCUGGCUAGAGUGUGGCAGAGGGGGGUGGAAUUCCGCGUGUAGCAGUGAAAUGCGUAGAGAUGCGGAGGAACACCGAUGGCGAAGGCAGCCCCCUGGGCUAGCACUGACGCUCAGGCACGAAAGCGUGGGGAGCAAACAGG
Molecule: ribosomal RNA, 253 nt
Filed under: uncultured bacterium
Lineage: Bacteria
Description: partial 16S ribosomal RNA
Rfam family: Bacterial small subunit ribosomal RNA
Source: RNAcentral